CAUGUUGUGGUUUCAGACCUAUG
Molecule: non-coding RNA, 23 nt
Filed under: Arabidopsis thaliana (thale cress)
Lineage: Eukaryota; Viridiplantae; Streptophyta; Magnoliopsida; Brassicales; Brassicaceae
Source: RNAcentral